This 253-nucleotide ribosomal RNA is filed under the name uncultured bacterium. Its description in RNAcentral is "partial 16S ribosomal RNA". It matches the Rfam family "Bacterial small subunit ribosomal RNA", at positions 524 to 776 of the family's 1533-position model. The record is from RNAcentral.
GACAGAGGGUGCGAACGUUGUUCGGAAUUACUGGGCGUAAAGCGCGUGUAGGCGGCUCGAUAAGUCGGAUGUGAAAGCCCUGGGCUCAACCUAGGAAGUGCAUUCGAAACUGCUGAGCUUGAGUUCUGGAGAGGAAGGCGGAAUUCUCGGUGUAGAGGUGAAAUUCGUAGAUAUCUGGAGGAACACCGGUGGCGAAGGCGGCAUUCUGGACCGAUAUUGACGCUGAGGAGCGAAAGCCAGGGGAGCAAACGGG